RNAcentral lists this ribosomal RNA (465 nucleotides) under uncultured bacterium. RNAcentral describes it as "partial 16S ribosomal RNA". It matches the Rfam family "Bacterial small subunit ribosomal RNA", at positions 28 to 507 of the family's 1533-position model. The record is from RNAcentral.
GAUGAACGCUGGCGGCGUGCUUAACACAUGCAAGUCGAACGGAAAGGCUCCUGCUUGCAGGGGUACUCGAGUGGCGAACGGGUGAGUAACACGUGGGUGAUCUGCCCUGCACUUCGGGAUAAGCCUGGGAAACUGGGUCUAAUACCGGAUAGGACCACAUUUUGGAUGGUGUGGUGGAAAGUUUUUCGGUGUGGGAUGAGCUCGCGGCCUAUCAGCUUGUUGGUGGGGUAAUGGCCUACCAAGGCGUCGACGGGUAGCCGGCCUGAGAGGGUGUACGGCCACGUUGGGACUGAGAUACGGCCCAGACUCCUACGGGAGGCAGCAGUGGGGAAUAUUGCACAAUGGGCGCAAGCCUGAUGCAGCGACGCCGCGUGGGGGAUGACGGCCUUCGGGUUGUAAACUCCUUUCGCCAGGGACGAAGCGCAAGUGACGGUACCUGGAGAAGAAGCACCGGCUAACUACGUG